GCGGCCCUUGGUGCCGUGAUCCAGCAAUGCAGGAAGGCUCCUGCUGCUUGAGCUUAUCCCCCUAAGAUCGCCGCGGAAGCAUCCACGAGUCGGCUUUCGACCCGUUGCAGACAUUUCGAUAUGAUC
This 126-nucleotide unclassified non-coding RNA is filed under the name plant metagenome. RNAcentral's name for it is "partial contains 5.8S ribosomal RNA, internal transcribed spacer 2, and large subunit ribosomal RNA". The record is from RNAcentral.